AGCGCUUUGUGUGUGUGUUUGUUCAACUGGUGGACAGAGGCAUGAGAGACAGGUGUAAAUAUAAAUCCUCUUUUGCAAUCCAGAACUCAUUGUUCAGUAUGUUUUUAUACACACAAGGAGGAAUAUG
RNAcentral lists this small nucleolar RNA (127 nucleotides) under Nannospalax galili (Upper Galilee mountains blind mole rat). RNAcentral describes it as "Small nucleolar RNA SNORA40 (ENSNGAG00000006156.1)". It matches the Rfam family "Small nucleolar RNA SNORA40". Rfam says of the family: The snoRNA ACA 40 belongs to the H/ACA family of snoRNAs and guides the pseudouridylation of 28S rRNA subunit at position U4565. Lineage: Eukaryota; Metazoa; Chordata; Mammalia; Rodentia; Spalacidae. The record is from Rfam by way of RNAcentral.